GGAAGUGUAGCUCAGAGGUAGAAUGUGUGCUUAGCAUGUGCAAGGCCUGGAUUCAAUCCCAGCACCUCCC
This 70-nucleotide transfer RNA is filed under the name Marmota marmota marmota (Alpine marmot). It matches the Rfam family "tRNA". Rfam says of the family: Transfer RNA (tRNA) molecules are approximately 80 nucleotides in length. Their secondary structure includes four short double-helical elements and three loops (D, anti-codon, and T loops). Lineage: Eukaryota; Metazoa; Chordata; Mammalia; Rodentia; Sciuridae. The record is from Rfam by way of RNAcentral. RNAcentral also lists the same sequence under 3 other names.